GAUGAAGAACGCAGCGAAAUGCGAUAAGUAGUGUGAAUUGCAGAAUUCAGUGAAUCAUCGAAUCUUUGAACGCACAUUGCGCCCCUUGGUAUCCCGAGGGGCAUGCCUGUUCGAGCGUCAUUUCACCACUCAAGCCUGGCUUGGUGUUGGGCGACGUCCCAUUUGGGGACGCGCCUCGAAACGCUCGGCGGCGUGGCACCGGCUUUAAGCGUAGCAGAAUCUUUCGCUUUGGAAGUCGGGGCCCCGUCUGCCGGAAGACCUACUCGCAAGGUUGACCUCGGAUCAGGCAGGGAUACCCGCUGAACUUAAGCAUAUCAAUAAGCGGAGGA
This 329-nucleotide unclassified non-coding RNA is filed under the name soil metagenome. RNAcentral's name for it is "partial contains 5.8S ribosomal RNA, internal transcribed spacer 2, and large subunit ribosomal RNA". The stretch from base 1 to 120 matches the Rfam family "5.8S ribosomal RNA", at positions 35 to 154 of the family's 154-position model. The record is from RNAcentral.